Molecule: ribosomal RNA, 1019 nt
Filed under: PVC group bacterium
Lineage: Bacteria; Pseudomonadati
Description: bacterial SSU rRNA
Rfam family: Bacterial small subunit ribosomal RNA
Source: RNAcentral
AGAGUUUGAUUCUGGCUCAGAACGAACGCUGGCAGCGUGGAUUAGGCAUGCAAGUCGAACGAGAAGUUCGUUGCUCAAUCUUUCGAGAGAGAGCGGCGGAUGGAGAGUGGCGGAAGGGUGAGUAACGCGUGGGUAAUUUGCCUCCGAGUUCGGGAUAACUUUUCGAAAGGGAAGCUAAUACCGGAUACGGUUUUCCGACGCAUGUCGGAAAAACCAAAGGCGGGGACCCUUCGGGGCCUGUCGCUGGGAGAGAAGCCCGCGUCCCAUCAGCUUGUUGGCAGGGUAACGGCCUACCAAGGCUUACGGGUAGCUGGUCUGAGAGGAUGAUCAGCCACACUGGGACUGAGACACUGCCCAGACUCCUACGGGAGGCUGCAGUCGAGGAUCAUUUGCAAUGCGCGAAAGCGUGACAAUGCGACGCUGCGUGGAGGAUGAAGGCUUUCGGGUCGUAAACUCCUGUCAUUCGGGAACAAACCUGUCAGGUUAACACCCUGGCGGGGUGAGGGUACCGAAAGAGGAAGCCACGGCUAACUCUGUGCCAGCAGCCGCGGUAAUACAGAGGUGGCUAGCGUUGUUCGGAUUUACUGGGCGUAAAGGGUGCGUAGGCGGUAUCGUGUGUCGGACGUGAAAGCCCAUGGCUCAACCAUGGAAUGGCAUCCGAAACUGCGAUACUUGAGGACAGGAUGGGAGAGCGGAAUUCUUGGUGUAGCGGUGAAAUGCGUUGAUAUCAAGAAGAACACCGGUGGCGAAGGCGGCUCUCUGGAAUGUUUCUGACGCUGAGGCACGAAAGUUGGGGUAGCAAACAGGAUUAGAUACCCUGGUAGUCCCAACCGUAAACGUUGUGAACUUGGUGUGGGGGGAAUUGACCCCCUCCGUACCGGAGCUAACGCGUUAAGUUCACCGCCUGGGGAGUACGGCCGCAAGGCUAAAACUCAAAGAAAUUGACGGGGGCCCGCACAAGCGGAGGAGCAUGUGGCUUAAUUCGAUGCAACGCGAAGAACCUUACCAGGGCUUGACAU